This 407-nucleotide ribosomal RNA is filed under the name uncultured bacterium. RNAcentral's name for it is "partial 16S ribosomal RNA". It matches the Rfam family "Bacterial small subunit ribosomal RNA", at positions 30 to 526 of the family's 1533-position model. The record is from RNAcentral.
AUUGAACGCUGGCGGCAGGCCUAACACAUGCAAGUCGAGCGGAGCGGCGGACGGGUGAGUAAUGCCUAGGAAUCUGCCUGGUAGUGGGUGAUAACGUCCGGAAACGGGCGCUAAUACCGCAUACUAUCAGAUGAGCCUAGGUCGGAUUAACUAGUUGGUGGGGUAAAGGCCUACCAAGGCGACGAUCCGUAACUGGUCUGAGAGGAUGAUCAGUCAAACUGAAACUGAGACACGGUCCAGAAUUUUACAGGAGGCAGAAGUGAGAAAUAUUAGACAAUGUACGAAAGAAUAAUCCAGACAGUCCUCAUGUGUAAAAAAGGUUUUCUGAUUUUAAAGAACUUUAAGUUGGGAGGUGUUACUAAUAGAAUAAGCACCGGCUAAUUUCGUGCCAGCAGUCGCGCUAAUUU